GCGAGCGUGGCGGAAUUGGCAGACGCGCCAGGUUUAGGUCCUGGUACCCAAAAGGUAUGGAGGUUCGACUCCUCUCGCUCGCA
This 83-nucleotide transfer RNA is filed under the name Sedimentisphaerales bacterium. Its description in RNAcentral is "tRNA-Leu". It matches the Rfam family "tRNA". Rfam says of the family: Transfer RNA (tRNA) molecules are approximately 80 nucleotides in length. Their secondary structure includes four short double-helical elements and three loops (D, anti-codon, and T loops). Further hydrogen bonds mediate the characteristic L-shaped molecular structure. tRNAs have two regions of fundamental functional importance: the anti-codon, which is responsible for specific mRNA codon recognition, and the 3' end, to which the tRNAs corresponding amino acid is attached (by aminoacyl-tRNA synthetases). tRNAs cope with the degeneracy of the genetic code in two manners: having more than one tRNA (with a specific anti-codon) for a particular amino acid; and 'wobble' base-pairing, i.e. permitting non-standard base-pairing at the 3rd anti-codon position. The record is from RNAcentral. Lineage: Bacteria; Pseudomonadati; Planctomycetota; Phycisphaerae; Sedimentisphaerales.